AGAGGUUUGUUUUAACUCAAGAGAGAAACGACCCAAGCGUUAUUGCUGUCUUCAUCUCCUUAUCGUUAACGAGCAGCAGCUCUGGAGGAUUGUGAUCCUUAUCUAAUUCUGUUAGGGGAGCUGAAUGAUAGAAGAGAGAGGGAAGCAAGGCCGUGAUUAAUUGAAGAAAGAGAGAGUGAGAGCCGGCGACUUCAAAUCAAGAAAGGGAGAUGGAAAUCCGAUGGCGACGUCGAUUGGUGGAUUCAAUGGUAGACUUGAAUCGGAAAGAGGAGACGGCCGCGAGGGGGUGGGCUUCGCGUCAAUGCUAUCCAAGAGGGAAGAAGAAGAAGCAAUAGCUUCCUCGAUGAGAAAUCGUCCCCAGUCAUCAACGGCGGGCAGCGACGCGUGACGGGGGGCGUUGAAGCACUGGAGGCGUCCGCGAGAGCUGCUACGUCGUUGGAGAGAGGAGGAGAGGCCAGCUGCAGCGGGAAUCUCGAUUCAAAGGAGUUUGGAGAACUCGCCGGAUUCUGGAAAAGAGCUCGCCGUAGAAGAAGACUGACUUUCCAGCAAGUCUGGGAAAGUUCAGCGACCUCCCUGCAAGUGGGAGAAAGUUCAGUUACCUCCUGCAUGGUUGGAAAAGCUGGUGACUAAACUGCAAACUCUGAAAGUUGGGUGAUCUGAUUGCAAUUCAGGGACCAGUUCUGUAAUUUACCAAUUCGUGGAAAAUUACAGUUUUGCCAUAAAGUGUUCUUCGAUUUUGGGAAGAGUAAUUGAAGUAUAACUUUUUCGUUUGAGCUCCAAACGACGCACCGUCAGAGGCUGUGGAUUCAUGGCAGCAAGAGAAAUCUUCUCAGAUGCUUUCUGGGAUUUUGGCUCAUCAUCCAGGUGGGUGGUUUAAGGGGGGAUAAAAUCGUAUCGGUGCUUUAGGUUAAAUUAAGUUUAAAUAAUUUAACGAACGUAAUUUUAUGCAGUGAUUCCAUGGCAUGAAUCGAUGAUUAAGUGACCAUGCUAGGUUAUGUGGUGUUAUUAUGUGAUUGAUGCAAUUAAGUUUAUGUCAAUGAUUCCAUGAUUAAGUGACCAUGUUCUGUUAGACUAUGUUAUGAUAAUACUCGAUUGAUUAAGUGGGUAUCAUACGUCAUGUUAUUCAUGUGAUAGUUAAGCGACUAUGUUAUGAUAAGCUAUGUUAUGUUACAUCAUGUUAUUUAUGUGAUACAAGUAAUUGUAUGAUGUCGCUGUGAUUAAGUGGUUACCUUAUGCUAUGUUAGUAUGUCAUGGUUAGGUGGAUAUGUUAUGCUAGGCUAUGUUAGGUUAUGAUAUCCCUUGAUGACGUGCAAGUGAUCCCUUUAUACUUCGUUAAAGCAUGUCAUGUUCUCCAUUAGUGUUCACGUUAUGUCCAUCAUAUUAUUGUUAUUGUUAAGAGAUUAUGUCAUGAUUUGUUAUGUUAUUACUUGAUGAGGUUUUGUAAGUCGUGUCAUGCCUCCUUGAUUAGGGUUCACCCCAUGUUCAUAUGAUUAAGGUUAUGGUUAACCGGUUUUAUCUUGAUAUGUCAUGUUACUACUUGAUGAAGUUGUGCAAGUUCUACCUUGAAUCAUGCCAAGUCAUGUAAUGUCCCUCCUGAUUGAUGGUUACCUCAUGUUCAUGUUAUCCAUGUUGUACUUAAGUGGAUAUGUCAUGAUGUGUUAGCUUAUUACUUGAUGAUGUGUAAGAUGUGCCUUGAAUUAUGAUAAGGUUAGACUACCUGAAGAUCAUGCAUGUCAAGUGCAAGUGCUGAGAUACCUUAGAUAAGGUAAAGUAUAAGAGUAAGAUUCAAUGUCACGCGUUCUCAUGUUUUCUAAGUGAUCCUCAUAUGCUGAUGUGAUUAAAUGACAUGUGUUCUCGUUGUUCCUAAGUGAUGUUGGUGAUAAUGAUCACCUGUUAAGAUAUGUCAAGUGAUUCUCAUGUGCUGAUGUGUUGUGAUUUGUCCCAAUGUUCUUUGAUGUGAUAUCUACUUGUUAUGAUCAAUGUUCAUGUAAUGUUGUGUCUCUUAUGUGACAAUGUUUCUUUGAUUGUUGACCAGAGAUGAUAAGUGUUCAAGUAAUAAUGUGUUCAAGUAAUAANNNNNNNNNNNNNNNNNNNNNNNNNNNNNNNNNNNNNNNNNNNNNNNNNNNNNNNNNNNNNNNNNNNNNNNNNNNNNNNNNNNNNNNNNNNNNNNNNNNNNNNNNNNNNNNNNNNNNNNNNNNNNNNNNNNNNNNNNNNNNNNNNNNNNNNNNNNNNNNNNNNNNNNNNNNNNNNNNAAGUAAUAAUGUGUUCUUCAUGUUUGAAUGUUCCUUUAAGAUUGAUUCGAGGUUCAAUCUUUGAUGAUGACUAUGUUACUACGUAUACUGGCCAUGUUAAGUUCACAUGUACUUGGAUCGCAGAAAGAUCACUAUGUUAUGCAUUAUGCCUACUCAGUUAGCAUUAAGGAUUCUAUAUGUAGUUAUAUGUAUUUGUCUUUCCUAUGUUCUAGCGUGAUGCUCAUGUUAGGUGUCUAAAUGACUAAAAGGGAAUACGUCGUGGUUAGAUAACCAUAAAGCAUGUCUCUAAGUGAAGAUAGUGUCUGAAUGAAUAAGUUGAUGUCAGAAUAAGUAUUGUCUAGAUGAGAUGAUGUCUGAAUAUGUGUGAUGUUGGUAAAGUUAAGUUGGAAAUCAUGUGUUAUGCUUAACACAAGAUAGACUGACCCUAGAACUACCCAACAUGGUGUUUCUAAGUUGCUGUAGGAGUAGAGUGGAGCUGAUUCGGGUGUGGAGUGGUGGACUUGUUUUUAAAUGUCAAAUUUGAUUUUCAAGUGUUACUAAGACUUGGUUCUUUUCAUUUUGUCUUAGGAUAAGGCACUUUAGUUUCUUUCAUGUGGUCGGUAAGUUUUCGAAGUUCCUUUGAGUCGAGUCGUCCUUGCAGGGAAAUUUGGUUAUUUAAUAAAUAGAAAACGUUUGGGGUGUGUCAUACUCUUUCGAUCAAAUUGUAAGCUUGUACCGUUGUCUAGUAGUUAGUAGAGGCUAGUGAACAACCCUCGUGGAUAUGACACUUGUUAGCUAGGAAUUGGGAGUAAUCCCUUUCUCAAGCGAUCACUCAUCAACCAUUGAGUUUCAACAUGCUCAACUACUUGAUUAGAUGCAGAUACUCACCAAGAUGAUGGAUGCUUUCAAGCUAGCUCAUCGAAGCAACCAGUGCUCCAACAAACCUGUAAAUGCACCUAUGAAGGGUGAGGAGGAACUCAUUAUGACCUCUGAAGCUGUAUGAUUGUUUAUGAGCUAGAACCAAACAUGAAACAAGAGCAAGUGGACAACAUAGUGGUCAUAAUCAAGGAAUAUAUCAACUAGGAAAGAACACUUAAUAGGAAUCAGAAUAACUACCAGCAACAAGGCCAGAACAACUGCAGACGUAAGAACAAUUUUUAGCAGCAAGCCCAAAACACCUAUUGGAAUCAACAUAGUCAUCAACAUGAUUUCCUCCUCAACAACAACAAUUAUCCGUAGAGAUCCUUUUGGUGAAGUUCUUUGCUUCUAAUGGCGUUACUCAAUAAUAAAUCAAGCGCAAUUCAGUGUAACAGAAGCAGCAAUCGGGAACUUGGAAAAUUCAAAUAGGAGAAUUGUCCAAGUUCGUCACUAAGAAGCCAAAUAGGAUGCCAAGUGCUACUAUUCCUAAUCCAAAACAUGGGCAGUCCCAAAGAGCAGUGACACUAAGGAGUGGCAAGGAAGUUCUUGACUAUCCAAUGAAACCAGUGCUAGUGGAGAUAUAAGAAAAAGCUGCAUCUAUAACUCUUAAACAUAUCGCCCAGACUCACCUUAGGGUACCACACCCUGCUACAUUGAAAAGGAAGCCGUUGACAAACAAUGAUUUUGAAAAAUUUCUGGAUGUACUCAACAAACAGAGUUUGAGCAUCCAACUAUUAGAUUUUCCUUUCAAAAUGUCAAAAAAUGAACAAAUAGCAAUGACGAGCCAAAGCAUGGAUGAAUCAUUCCUAUGGCAUCUCCGAUAUGGACACCUAAACUACAAAGGGCAUAAAUUACUGAAGCAGAAAAAUAUGGUGGUCGGUCUUCCUCAAAUCAACAAAGAAGACAAGGUCUAUGAAGGAUGCAUAUAUGACAAAAUGCAUCGCUUGCCAUUUCCAAAAACUACUUGAAGAGCAAAAGCACCGCUAGAGUUGGUAUACACUGAUAUUUGCGGACCAACUAGAACAACAUCCAUAGGUGGUAAGAGAUACUUUCUUCUACUUGUGGAUGAUUAUACUAGAAUGAUGUGGGUAUGGUUUCUUGAGAAAAAGUCAAAAGCUUUCUCCAAGUUCGUUCAAUUCUACUUGUGGAUGAUUAUACUAGAAUGAUGUGGGUAUGGUUUCUUGAGAAAAAGUCAAAAGCUUUCUCCAAGUUCGUUCAAUUCAAAGCAGCAAUUGAGAAGGAAAGCGGGCAUCAAAUCAAAACACUGAAAAGAUCAUGGUGGAGAGUUCAUUUACAAACCAUUUAUGGAGUACUGUCGCACCAAUGGAAUCAAGAGGUAGUUGACAGUGCGGUACACACCACAACAAAAUGGCAUAGUAGAACGAAAGAACCGUACAAUUGUGGAGAUGUCAAGAAGCAUGAUGACUGCUAAGAAACUUCCCAACCAACUAUGGGCAGAAGCUAUCAAUACAACAAUCUACAUCCUCAAUAGAUCGGCAACCAAAGCAGUGAAGUACAAAGCACCAUUUCAAGCAUCGCACCACUAAUGGCCGCAAAUAGAUCACCUCAAAGUAUUCAGAUGCAUAGCUUAUGCACACAUCUCUACCCCAAAUCGAGAGAAGUUCGACCCGAAAGGAGAGAAGCUCAUCUUCAUCGAAUAUACCGAUGAAUCCAAAGGCUAUAGACUAUACAAUCCUUUAAAGAUCGAGGUAGUGAUUUCACGAGAUGUUAUCUUCGACGAAAUGGUUGAGUGGAGUUGGGAAACUCGGGAUACCCAACCUCCAUAAAAAAUGAGAUCUUGGAGAAUCCAACAACUACAGCAACAACACUAAAUGAGGCGGAUUAGAUUCCAAGCCAAGGAAGAAGUCCAACAACGAGUCUAACAAGAGACAAUGUUAGAGACGUUUUGACAGAUUCAGACUCACGUAAAUCUCGCUACAUUUUCGCCAGCGCGCCAACAAAUUUCGUAUCAGAGCAGAAACAACAUUUCUGAGAAUUUUUGGCAUCAAAUUAGCCAAAGAAGCUUGGGAAGUCUUUAAGAACGAAUUUCAAGGUUCCAAGAAGGUAAUCUCCAUAAAAUGCCAAAAUCUAUGGCGUCAAUUCAAAAACCUAGCAAUGAAGGAAGGCGAAACCAUGAAAGACUUUCAUUCUCGUGUUGCUGAGAGAUUGAACCAGAUCAAAGUCACUAGAGAUACUAUCGAUGAGAAGAAGAUCGUGGAAAGGAUCCUUCGCAGCCUAACACCGAAGUUUGAGCAUGUUGUCACUGUCAUAGAAGAAACCAAAGAUUUUGGAAAAUUACCCAUGAUGGAGCUUAUGGGAUCACUUGUAGCUCACGAGCAAAGAUUGAGUCGGUUUACCAACCGACAACUCGAGCUAGCUUUUCAAUCCAAGGUCGACAUCAAGGAGAUAAAUCAGCAAAUCAGGAGCAGAAUCACAAAGGAGACAAGUUUCAGAAAAAAUUAGGAAAACCAAAUUUCAAGAAAAACAACAACUAGAGCCAGAAUGAGGAGAAAUCAAGCAAAUCCAACGACGGAUGCAAAAUUUGGAAAAAAUCUGACCAUGCUACCAAAGAAUGCAGGUUUAGGUGGACCAAAUGCAAAAUUCAAAAUCACUCUCAACGAAAUUUGCUGGUUCCAAAACAAGAAAGAAGAAGGCGAAUCAAGCUUUGCACAGAAGGACAAAGAAAAAUUGGUCGCUUACACUUGCUUCAAAGCCGAGCAAAAUUCACAACUUCUAUGGGUGGUGGACAGCGGUUGUAGUAAUCACAUGACUAGAGAUCGGGAGUCCUUCACCGAGAUGGAUGAUACAUAUAAUUGCCAAGUGAAGAUUGGAGACGGUAAAAAGCUGGAAGUUGAAGGAAAGUGUACAAUCAUGGUACAAAGAAAGGAAGGUAACAAAACACUAAUCCAAGAAGUUUUGUAAGUUCCUGAAUUAGCUCAGAAUUUUCUGAGUGUUGGACAACUAAUGCUUAAAAAAUGCAAGCUAUUGUUUGAUAACGAAGAAUGUAAGAUUAUCAACAAAGCCAACAACUCGAAAGUGGAAAAUCUCGAUGACUUCUACCAAGAUGUUUCCUUUCAAAAUGCCGAAGAAUGAAGAAAUAACAAUGAAGAGCAAACGCAUGGAUGAAUCAAUGCGGGGAAAACAGGGUUCGUCGGCAAGUGGAUUCCGAUUCUUCCUCCGAUUCUGGACAUGGAGAUCCUAUUUCUGAUUCACCUCUUCGAGGAAGAGAUAGAAUAUCUGAUUCAAUUAGUAGAUCAGAUGGACACCUAAACUACAAAUGGCUUAAAUUACUGAAGCCGAAAAAUAUGGUGGUCGAUCUUCCCUAAAUCAACAGAGAAGAUAAAGUUUAUGAAGGAUGCAUAUAUGGCAAAAUGCAUCGCUUGCCAUUUCCAAAAACUAAAGCACCACUAGAGUUGAUAUACACUGAUAUUUACGGACCAACUAGAACAACAUUCAUAGGUGGUAAGAUAUACUUUCUUCUAUUUGUGGAUGAUUAUACUAGAAUGAUGUGGGUAUGCUUUCUUGAGAAAAUGUCAGAAGCUUUCUCCAAGUUCCUUCAAUUCAAAGCAGCAGUUGAGAAGGAAAGCAUGCAUCAAAUCAAAACACUCCAAAAAGAUCAUAGUGGAGAGUUCAUCUACAAACCAUUUAUGGAGUACUGUCGCACCAAUGGAAUCAAGAGGUAGUUGACAGUGCGAUACACACCACAACACAAUAACGUAGUAGAACGAAAGAACCGUACUAUUGUGGAGAUGUCAAGAAGCAUGAUGACUGCUAAGAAAACUCCCAAGCAACUCUGGGUAAAAGCUAUCAAUACAACAAUCUACAUCCUCAACAGAUCGCCAACCAAAGCAGUGAAGUACAAAGCACCUUUUCAAGCAUGGCACCACAAAUGGCCGCAAAUAGCUCACCUCAAAGUAUUCGGAUGUAUAACUUAUGCAAACAUCUCUACCCCAAAUCGAGACAAGUUCGACCAGAUAGGAGAGAAGCAAAUCUUCAUUCGAUAUAGCGAUGAAUCCAUAGGCUAUAGACUCUCCAAUCCAUUAAAGAACGAGGUGGUGAUUUCAUGAGAUGUUAUGUUCGACGAAAUGGCCGAUUGGAGUUGGGAAACUCGGGAUACCCAACCUCCAUAAAAAAUGAGAUCUUGGAGAAUCCAACAACUACAGCAACAACACUAAAUGAGGCGGAUUAGAUUCCAAGCCAAGGAAGAAGUCCAACAACGAGUCUAACAAGAGACAAUGUUAGAGACGUCGUGACAGAUUCAGACUCACGUAAAUCUCGCUACAUUUUCGCCAGCGCGCCAACAAAUUUCGUAUCAGAGCUAAAGUUACGCUGAGUAUGCCCUGUGGUUGCGAUUUUAAUAACUGAUCUUACACAUAAAAAAGUUACACUUUAGUACUUUGAUAAUCAUAUUUUAAUCCACCCUCACAAAGUCCUCUGAAAACCUCUACAAAAAAAUCCUCUCAAAAUACUAUGGCAGCACCAUCGUCAAGUUCCAUGUUCGCCAACUCUCCCAAUCAAAUCCCAAUUUUUUAUGGAGAAUUGUACGAAUAUUGGAAAGCACAAGUGGAGACUAUCUUCAUUUCGCAAGAGUUGCGGAAUAUUUUUCAAGAAGGCAUCAAAAAAUCACCACAAGAGGACGACUCCACAUCGACCAGAUAGGAGAGAAGCUCAUCUUCAUUCGAUAUAGCGAUGAAUCCAUAGGCUAUAGACUCUCCAAUCCAUUAAAGAACGAGGUGGUGAUUUCAUGAGAUGUUAUGUUCGACGAAAUGGCCGAUUGGAGUUGGGAAACUCGGGAUACCCAACCUCCAUAAAAAAUGAGAUCUUGGAGAAUCCAACAACUACAGCAACAACACUAAAUGAGGCGGAUUAGAUUCCAAGCCAAGGAAGAAGUCCAACAACGAGUCUAACAAGAGACAAUGUUAGAGACGUUUUGACAGAUUCAGACUCACGUAAAUCUCGCUACAUUUUCGCCAGCGCGCCAACAAAUUUCGUAUCAGAGCUAAAGUUACGCUGAGUAUGCCCUGUGGUUGCGAUUUUAAUAACUGAUCUUACACAUAAAAAAGUUACACUUUAGUACUUUGAUAAUCAUAUUUUAAUCCACCCUCACAAAGUCCUCUGAAAACCUCUACAAAAAAAUCCUCUCAAAAUACUAUGGCAGCACCAUCGUCAAGUUCCAUGUUCGCCAACUCUCCCAAUCAAAUCCCAAUUUUUGAUGGAGAAUUGUACGAAUAUUGGAAAGCACAAGUGGAGACUAUCUUCAUUUCGCAAGAGUUGCGGAAUAUUUUUCAAGAAGGCAUCAAAAAAUCACCACAAGAGGACGACUCCACAUCGACCAGAUAGGAGAGAAGCUCAUCUUCAUUCGAUAUAGCGAUGAAUCCAUAGGCUAUAGACUCUCCAAUCCAUUAAAGAACGAGGUGGUGAUUUCAUGAGAUGUUAUGUUCGACGAAAUGGCCGAUUGGAGUUGGGAAACUCGGGAUACACAACCUCCAUCAAAAAAUGAGAUCCUAGAGAAUCCAACAACUACACCAACAACACAUAAUGAGUUGGAUCAAAAUCUUGUCCAAGGAAGAAGUCCAACAACGAGUCUAACAAGAGACAACGUCAGAGAUAUCGUGAGUGAUUCAGACUCACCUCCAUUAAACGUCAGAUCUUUAAGAGAAAUUUAUGAAUCUUGUCACGUAGCAUAUUUUUCUUAUCAACCUUAUACAUUUGAAGAAGCAGCAAAAGACAAAGUCUGGACAGAAGCAAUGGACACAAAGAUCUCAAUGAUGGAGAAGAACAAGACUUGGGAGCUCGUGGACACACCAAAAUCCAAGCCGGUCAUAGGUCUAAAAUGGAUCUACAAGACACAAUUUAACAAAGAUGGUUCCAUCCAGAAGCACAAAGCAAGAUUGGUGGCAAAAGGCUAUUCACAACAGUGUGGCCUCGACUUUCACGAAACCUUCACACCAGUAGUGCGGAUGAAGACAAUAAGAACAGUCAUAGCACUAGCAGCUCAAAUGGAGUUACCAAUAUUCUAGGUAGACGUCAAGUCAGUAUUGCACAAUGGAACACUAGAAGAAGAAGUCCAUGUGGAACAACCAUGAGGGUACGAGAAGAAAGGAGGAGAAGACAAAGUCUAUCGACUCAAAAAUGUGGUCUACGGAUUUAAACAAGCGUCUCGAGUGUGGAACAACAUAAUUGAUCGCUAUUUUCAAAACAAUGGAUUCCAAAGAAGUCCAAGUGGAGCAUCUCUAUACGUAAAAAAGGGAGAAGAUAAAAUCAUUCUUAUUUUGUGCUUAUAUAUUGAUGACUUGAUCUAUACGGGGCACAAGUCCACAAAUGAUUGAAGAAUUCAAAAGAGCAAUGAUGUUAGAAUUCAAGAUGAAAGACUUGGGACUUAUGAAGUAUUUCCUCGCAAUUCAAAUGAAGCAGAAGCCAUGGGAAAUAUUCAUCUCCUAAGAGAAAUAUACCGAAGAUAUGUUGAAUAGAAUUCACAUGGAAACGUCCAAGCCCAUAGCUACACUAAUGGUACUAAGAGAUAAACUGCAACAAGAUAAUGGAGCAUAAAAAGUUGACAGAAAAAUCUACUGAAGCCUAGUCGGAUCGCUCAUAUAUCUGACACACACAAGACCAGAUAUAUGUCACUCGGUAGUCUCAUUUCAAGAUUUUAAAUGUGCCUAUCAAACUUCAUUUUGCAGUAGCAAAGAGAAUCCUACGAUACCUCCAAGGCACUAAACAAUUGGGCCUAAGGUACAAGAAGGAAGUAGGAAGCAAGCUAAUCGAAUACAGUGACAGUGACUGGGCAGGAUCACUAGAUGACCAAAAAAGUGGUUAAUUCUUCAGUAUACCCGAUAUACCGAAACUUUCGGUGUGCCCAGUUUUUUUGGUAAAGUAAGUUUUUAUUUCACAUUUUAUUUUUUAUCUCAUAUGUUUUCUCAAUUUGACAAAGGAGCUUUAGCAAGCUAAGGCAGCAGCUCAGAGAGCAAUAGAGGGAGAUGAAGGAAACACAACUCCGAAAACAUGCAGCAAGAUAACAAAAUUCCAGUGCUUCAAAACAAAACUUGGGACAUUCUGCAACUGAAAAAUCAAACAAAACACCAUGUAUGGCACCCCAAAGUGACAACAAAAAACAGUAGCAACAAUUUCAAUUAAACCACAUGAAAUUUUUUAUUUGAAAUCACAUGAAAUUUUGGAUCAAUUACAAUCCAAUUUCAGAUCGCAAACUGUAAUCAAAAAUAAAAUAUGAAAUAGAAAUUAUCAAAAAUAAAAUGUGAAAUAGAAAUUUAAUAUUUGAAUAAUUAUAAACCGCCGAGAUCGCAAACUGAAAAUGGACGUUGGUGAUGGAUUUACAUUACCAAAAAAAAACUUGACACACUAAAAGUUUGGGUAUACCAGGUAUACUGAAGAAUUCAACCAAAAAAGUACAUCUAGUUACAUAUUUUCCCUAGCUACAAAACCAAUUUACUAUAGCUCAAAGAAGUAGAAGACUGUGGCAUUAUCAUUAGUGGAAGCAGAAUCUAUUGCAGUAAUAGAUGCAGCAUGCGAGAGAGUAUGGCUAAAAAGAUUAAUUGAAGACUUGCAACAAGGUGAUAAUGAACCAAUCAUUAUUCAUUGUGACAAUAUGUCAGCUAUAGGCAUGAUUAAGAUAUCUCAACCUCCCAACUAGUCUUAUUAAUUUGAUAUGAGGUUAUUAUAUAGCAGAACAAAAUCAAGUCCAAUAAUUUGAGAUGGUGUAGGUAGAGAUAACAAUAAUAUCUUAUUAUUCUAAUGUAAAAUUAUGAGUAUAAAUAGGUGUUUUGCAUUGAGUUGGAGAGGCAAUGAAAACAAAUUGUAAGCAAAGCAAAAGUGAGCAAAGAGGUGUCUGUGAGCAAAUUGUGAGGGUGAGUGAAUUGGUCAAGUGACCAAGUUUUAAUAUUUAAAAAGUUAAGUGAUUAAUUAAGUGAGUUAUCAAAAUAUUAUCUUUUUGAUUCUAAAUCCCGCUACAUUUCCACUAGUGGCCCAACAAGAUUAGAGACUCUAUCGGGUUAUCUCGUUGCGCCAAUCAAUUUCUUCAAUGGGACCUUCUGCUUUGACUUUCAAUCGCAAUAAUGGAAUUUGAAGCUUCUUCGAGUUGUUAUAAACCUACUCCAUCAGCCCUUGAUGGAAGAAUAACCCAGAAACCUCAAGAAAGUGAUUUUAUCUUUCCCUGUUUUCCUGUUCCAACGAGCUCCAUCGUGAUCAUGGAAUUCGGCGAUGCUGGUAAUCCCAUUCUUGUUUCGGGGUCCAGGACGGUUGGAAAUACCUCUCCAAAUUUGAAGGCAUUGUUGAUCGCCGCCGUUACCAACUCAAGUCCCUUUCUCCUUUCACUGAUUGCACCUCCGAAGGAAGACAUUGACAAUAAGCUCCAAACAUGUCCAUAUCUCGUAAUAUACCUUGAGUCCGUAGGAACCUAAGGAAACUAACCGUGUCUUCCAUCGUCAUUCUCGAGCAAUUUCACAGCUGAUUUCGGAGCGCCGGAAGAACCAAACUCUGCCGGAGUUCCUCUCUGGGAAUCGAGGACGAAGAUGGGUAAAGUUACCUUUUAAUUUCCCAAAUAAUGUUAGACAUAACUUUUGAAUAUGUUUAGCUGUAGCCCAACAUACAUCUAGUCAUUACAGUUUAGUCCUGGACACUUAUGAAAGCGACGGAAGUGACUGAUUCUUGGACUAUGAACCUAUAAUUCGAGCCAACUCGAUUCACCCAAGCUGGGAUUGGUUAAGGGGGUAAAUUCCAUUUUAAUAGUUAGCUUAAUGAUUGAAAUAUCAAUUAUGCGUCUUUGAUAUGUGUGAUCAAUGAAUGGAAUAUGUGAUAAGUGGCAACUUGACAAUGUCAAUUGUACAUGAUUUAUUGACCAUUGGUUCUAAUAAAUGUGGUGGUAUACCUGAUUGAUAGGAUAUGUGUUAUAUGAUUUGUUAUUUGGUCAUUGUUCAUGUGGCUACAAGUAUAUGUUAAUGGUAUAAUAAGGAGAAUUGUUUGAUCACCUAGAUUAAGGCCCGUAUGCUGGCGAUCUACAUGUGUGCUUAUUGCACUACUGCUACGUGUAUAUGGCCCCAAAUGGGUGCGAAUAAUGGUUCCUUGAUGGUGCCACCAAUGAUAAGUGAAAUGGGCAUGAAUUUUGCAACCAAUGAUAUGUGAAAGCUCGAGAAUCGUUAGCAUACGUGAGUCAAGGAUCCCAACUAAAAUAUGGAAGGAGCCUGAGUCAUAUUGCUUAUGUGUUUGAUGAUUGUAAUUUUUAUUGUGACUUAUAAGGAUUGACCCCGAGCCACCCACCAGAUGUUUAUAGGUUAACAGGGAAUAGCUAAGGUCGAUCGUCGGUGUUUCUGUGGCCCAGCUAAAGUUAACAAGGACUGUGAGAUUGUGUGAUUUGGAACUUGGUGCCGACAUUGGUUUUGAAUGCAUGCGAGGGACAACUUUGGAAAUUAGUAUUCAUGAUGCAUUUAAAUAUUUCUUCUUUUUUUAGUACAAGAUGGCUAUUUAUAUUUGAAUUGAAAGAGUAAUUACCCCUUGCAAAGUCAAGAGUCCGUCUCGGGAUAAUUUAUUUCAUUAUUUUCAGUUAUAAGAGUUGGGGUGUUACAGUUGAGGAACUUAGAGCAAUGAUUUUUGAUAAGGAAGUAAAAGAUCAAGCACCCAAAGAGACACCCCUCCCUCUACCUAAACACACUCAAUGAGAGUUUAAGGCUGAGCAGAAAGAAGAGAAAGAUGAACUCUCUCUCAACCCAAUAAGCAUAGCAGAUCAUCGACCAAAGUGGUAAAAAACACUUUGACCCUGAGAGUUUCACUUUGUCUUGUUUUGCCGGUACUCAACGCAUUGAUAGACUUUUAUUUGAUUUGGCUGCUACCGUUAGUGUCAUGCCUUAUUCUCUAUUUGAGCAUGGGGUUCCACCAUGGAAAAACUUUUCAGCACUUUGAAUUGGUUUCUGACUUGUGAUUCAUGAUUAGUUUGUUUUGUUAUUUCCCAAUGCCAUAUGCUUGUUGAAUUGUCAUGCUUUCCAUGUCUAUCAUUUCACCCUUAUUUCUUUUCAUCUCAUCUAGACUUGUGUUUCUGUUUUAUUCGUUUAUCCUUUUGUCAUGUGGUUGAACUAUUGUUAGUCUGUUUUGGUUUCCUUCAUUUUCUGUGAGUUGAUGUAACAGAUUGGUAUUAGCCUAUCCGCUAUUGUGUCUUUUGUUUUUGUGACUGUAGAACUCUUAUCAUAUCCAAAUGUUUUCUAGAUCUCAAUUGCCGUCAGAAUGGAGCCUUUGUCCUCGUCCAUGCUAUGCAUUUGCUCAGUCUGUCGCUCAUCAAGUUAGUACCCGCUUCUUUUGUUCCUCCCUUACUUUGAUUUUGUGGUCCAUUAAGGCCAAUGUCAUGUUUAAGUGUCGGGGGAACUUUGUUGUUAUUUGUCGGGGUUGUGAUUCUCUAUUUCGUGUCCUCAUUUGUGGUUAUUUUGCACCUUGUCUUUGCCUUACGAAACUCCAUCUCGAGUUUCGUUUGUGGAUGUUAGUGGAUGCAUUUUUAGUGAUCGCGCUCUAUUUUUAGAUGUCUUCGAUGCUAGUAUCUCAUUUUCGAACCACCUGUCUUUAGUAACCAAGUUUUUUCGGGCUUUCGUACUUUUAAUUUCGUAAUUCUUUUCUACGUCGAAAUGUCAAUGUUUUCGGGCCCGCUACUGUUAUUAAUUGAGAGGCUGCCACCUCUUGUUUUGUUUGAAGAAACGUUGCAAAGUUCCAUUGGAGGAGAGGGGAGGUGGCAGCCCCUUUUCUUGAUUUAAAUGGACAAACAAGAGGAAGAUGAGGGAGGAUGGUUUCUGGGAACGAAAAAAUUCCUGCACCCCAAGUCCUAGUCCAAAAUAAAGAAGAAAAGAAAAUUAUUACAGCAAGUUACAAACACGAGCUAAACCUAAGUACAACCGUUUC
Molecule: long non-coding RNA, 14039 nt
Filed under: Linum usitatissimum (flax)
Lineage: Eukaryota; Viridiplantae; Streptophyta; Magnoliopsida; Malpighiales; Linaceae
Description: long non-coding RNA (LUSI_LNC004189)
Source: RNAcentral